This 306-nucleotide ribosomal RNA is filed under the name uncultured bacterium. Its description in RNAcentral is "bacterial SSU rRNA". It matches the Rfam family "Bacterial small subunit ribosomal RNA", at positions 28 to 330 of the family's 1533-position model. The record is from RNAcentral.
GAUGAACGCUAGCGGCAGGCUUAAUACAUGCAAGUCGAGGGGCAGCGGGGGUAGCAAUACCUGCCGGCGACCGGCAAACGGGUGCGGAACACGUACACAACUUUCCUUUAAGUGGGGGAGUAGCCCAGAGAAAUUUGGAUUAAUACCCCGUAAUAUUAUGAAGUGGCAUCAUUUUAUAAUUAUAGCUCCGGCGCUUGAAGAUGGGUGUGCGGCUGAUUAGGUAGUUGGCGGGGUAACGGCCCACCAAGCCUACGAUCAGUAACUGGUGUGAGAGCACGACCAGUCACACGGGCACUGAGACACGGG